Molecule: ribosomal RNA, 733 nt
Filed under: uncultured archaeon
Lineage: Archaea
Description: bacterial SSU rRNA
Rfam family: Archaeal small subunit ribosomal RNA
Source: RNAcentral
GGAUAAUCUACCCUUAGGACCGGGAUAACCUUGGGAAACUGAGGAUAAUACUGGAUAGGCAAUUAUUCCUGUAAUGGUUUUUUGUUUAAAUGUUUUUUCGCCUAAGGAUGAGUCUGCGGCCGAUUAGGUAGUUGGUUAGGUAAUGGCUUACCAAGCCGUUGAUCGGUACGGGUUGUGAGAGCAAGAGCCCGGAGAUGGAACCUGAGACAAGGUUCCAGGCCUUACGGGGUGCAGCAGGCGCGAAACCUCCGCAAUGUGAGAAAUCGCGACGGGGGGAUCCCAAGUGCCAUUCUUAACGGGAUGGCUUUUCAUUAGUGUAAAGAGCUUUUGGAAUAAGAGCUGGGCAAGACCGGUGCCAGCCGCCGCGGUAACACCGGCAGCUCUAGUGGUAACAAUUUUUAUUGGGCCUAAAGCGUCCGUAGCCGGUUUAAUAAGUCUCUGGUGAAAUCCUGUAGCUUAACUGUGGGAAUUGCUGGAGAUACUAUUAGACUUGAGACCGGGAGAGGUUAGAGGUACUCCCAGGGUAGAGGUGAAAUUCUGUAAUCCUGGGAGGACCGCCUGUUGCGAAGGCGUCUAACUGGAACGGUUCUGACGGUGAGGGACGAAAGUUAGGGGCGCGAACCGGAUUAGAUACCCGGGUAGUCCUAACUGUAAACGAUGCGGACUUGGUGUUGGGGUGGCUUUGAGCUGCUCCAGUGCCGAAGGGAAGCUGUUAAGUCCGCCGCCUGGGAAG